UAACUGAACGGGGAAUAAC
This 19-nucleotide non-coding RNA is filed under the name Mus musculus (house mouse). Lineage: Eukaryota; Metazoa; Chordata; Mammalia; Rodentia; Muridae. The record is from RNAcentral.